GUUAAGCGACUAAGCGUACACGGUGGAUGCCCUGGCAGUCAGAGGCGAUGAAGGACGUGCUAAUCUGCGAUAAGCGUCGGUAAGGUGAUAUGAACCGUUAUAACCGGCGAUUUCCGAAUGGGGAAACCCAGUGUGAUUCGUCACACUAUCAUUAACUGAAUCCAUAGGUUAAUGAGGCGAACCGGGGGAACUGAAACAUCUAAGUACCCCGAGGAAAAGAAAUCAACCGAGAUUCCCCCAGUAGCGGCGAGCGAACGGGGAGCAGCCCAGAGCCUGAAUCAGUGUGUGUGUUAGUGGAAGCGUCUGGAAAGGCGCGCGAUACAGGGUGACAGCCCCGUACACAAAAAUGCACAUGCUGUGAGCUCGAUGAGUAGGGCGGGACACGUGGUAUCCUGUCUGAAUAUGGGGGGACCAUCCUCCAAGGCUAAAUACUCCUGACUGACCGAUAGUGAACCAGUACCGUGAGGGAAAGGCGAAAAGAACCCCGGCGAGGGGAGUGAAAAAGAACCUGAAACCGUGUACGUACAAGCAGUGGGAGCACGCUUAGGCGUGUGACUGCGUACCUUUUGUAUAAUGGGUCAGCGACUUAUAUUCUGUAGCAAGGUUAACCGAAUAGGGGAGCCGAAGGGAAACCGAGUCUUAACUGGGCGUUAAGUUGCAGGGUAUAGACCCGAAACCCGGUGAUCUAGCCAUGGGCAGGUUGAAGGUUGGGUAACACUAACUGGAGGACCGAACCGACUAAUGUUGAAAAAUUAGCGGAUGACUUGUGGCUGGGGGUGAAAGGCCAAUCAAACCGGGAGAUAGCUGGUUCUCCCCGAAAGCUAUUUAGGUAGCGCCUCGUGAAUUCAUCUCCGGGGGUAGAGCACUGUUUCGGCAAGGGGGUCAUCCCGACUUACCAACCCGAUGCAAACUGCGAAUACCGGAGAAUGUUAUCACGGGAGACACACGGCGGGUGCUAACGUCCGUCGUGAAGAGGGAAACAACCCAGACCGCCAGCUAAGGUCCCAAAGUCAUGGUUAAGUGGGAAACGAUGUGGGAAGGCCCAGACAGCCAGGAUGUUGGCUUAGAAGCAGCCAUCAUUUAAAGAAAGCGUAAUAGCUCACUGGUCGAGUCGGCCUGCGCGGAAGAUGUAACGGGGCUAAACCAUGCACCGAAGCUGCGGCAGCGACACUGUGUGUUGUUGGGUAGGGGAGCGUUCUGUAAGCCUGCGAAGGUGUGCUGUGAGGCAUGCUGGAGGUAUCAGAAGUGCGAAUGCUGACAUAAGUAACGAUAAAGCGGGUGAAAAGCCCGCUCGCCGGAAGACCAAGGGUUCCUGUCCAACGUUAAUCGGGGCAGGGUGAGUCGACCCCUAAGGCGAGGCCGAAAGGCGUAGUCGAUGGGAAACAGGUUAAUAUUCCUGUACUUGGUGUUACUGCGAAGGGGGGACGGAGAAGGCUAUGUUGGCCGGGCGACGGUUGUCCCGGUUUAAGCGUGUAGGCUGGUUUUCCAGGCAAAUCCGGAAAAUCAAGGCUGAGGCGUGAUGACGAGGCACUACGGUGCUGAAGCAACAAAUGCCCUGCUUCCAGGAAAAGCCUCUAAGCAU
This 1582-nucleotide ribosomal RNA is filed under the name Escherichia coli. Its description in RNAcentral is "partial 23S ribosomal RNA". It matches the Rfam family "Bacterial large subunit ribosomal RNA", at positions 1 to 1629 of the family's 2925-position model. Lineage: Bacteria; Pseudomonadati; Pseudomonadota; Gammaproteobacteria; Enterobacterales; Enterobacteriaceae. The record is from RNAcentral.